RNAcentral lists this ribosomal RNA (439 nucleotides) under uncultured bacterium. RNAcentral's name for it is "partial 16S ribosomal RNA". It matches the Rfam family "Bacterial small subunit ribosomal RNA", at positions 338 to 795 of the family's 1533-position model. The record is from RNAcentral.
CCUACGGGUGGCAGCAGUGGGGAAUAUUGCACAAUGGGGGAAACCCUGAUGCAGCGACGCCGCGUGAGUGAAGAAGUAUUUCGGUAUGUAAAGCUCUAUCAGCAGGGAAGAAAAUGACGGUACCUGAUUAAGAAGCCCCGGCUAACUACGUGCCAGCAGCCGCGGUAAUACGUAGGGGGCAAGCGUUAUCCGGAUUUACUGGGGGUAAAGGGAGCGCAGGCGGAAGAUCAAGUCAGCGGUAAAAUUGAGGGGCUCAACCUCUUCGAGCCGUUGAAACUGGUUUUCUUGAGUGAGUGAGAAGUAUGCGGAAUGCGUGGUGUAGCGGUGAAAUGCAUAGAUAUCACGCAGAACUCCGAUUGCGAAGGCAGCAUACCGGCGCUCAACUGACGCUCAUGCACGAAAGUGUGGGUAUCGAACAGGAUUAGAUACCCGGGUAGUC